GAUGAAGAACGCAGCGAAAUGCGAUAAGUAAUGCGAAUUGCAGAAUUCAGUGAAUCAUCGAAUCUUUGAACGCACAUUGCGCCCCUUGGUAUUCCAUGGGGCAUGCCUGUUCGAGCGUCAUUUGUACCUUCAAGCUCUGCUUGGUGUUGGGUGUUUGUCUCGCCUCUGCGUGUAGACUCGCCUCAAAACAAUUGGCAGCCGGCGUAUUGAUUUCGGAGCGCAGUACAUCUCGCGCUUUGCACUCAUAACGACGACGUCCAAAAGUACAUUUUUACACUCUUGACCUCGGAUCAGGUAGGGAUACCCGCUGAACUUAAGCAUAUCAAUAAGCGGAGGA
RNAcentral lists this unclassified non-coding RNA (337 nucleotides) under soil metagenome. Its description in RNAcentral is "partial contains 5.8S ribosomal RNA, internal transcribed spacer 2, and large subunit ribosomal RNA". The stretch from base 1 to 120 matches the Rfam family "5.8S ribosomal RNA", at positions 35 to 154 of the family's 154-position model. The record is from RNAcentral.